GCGGCAGUAGCUUAAGUGUAAAGCCCUGGAUUGUCAUUCCAGGAGAUGCGGGGUCGCACCCGUCUACCGUU
Molecule: non-coding RNA, 71 nt
Organism: Hemisphaericaspora subhashii
Lineage: Eukaryota; Fungi; Ascomycota; Pichiomycetes; Serinales; Debaryomycetaceae
Source: the annotation of a RefSeq genome assembly